Scomber scombrus (Atlantic mackerel) is the source of this 284-nucleotide non-coding RNA. RefSeq annotates it as small Cajal body-specific RNA 6. The record is from RefSeq and is a predicted model, not a curated record. NCBI's taxonomy places the organism in Eukaryota, Metazoa, Chordata, Actinopteri, Scombriformes, Scombridae. The transcript has a single exon.
GGUCAGUGAUGUUACGUAAAAGGUCUGAAGCUCAGAUACUUUGCCCCUUCAGCCGCCAUUUUGGCUCCCAGCAGCCCUGCUCUCAGCUCCCAGCAUGCUCUAGCAGUGCAGCGCUGGUCCCAGCAGCUGCUGACACACAGGAUGUGACAUCACAGCUCUGAGUCUGUACUCAGAUCCUAUUGGCUCAGUGUGAUGCUGAGUGACAUCCGACAGAACCAAUCAGAAAGGAGCGUCAGGCUGAGGGGGCGGGGCCUGAACGGUGAUCUCACCCUUCUACUGAGACC